This 255-nucleotide ribosomal RNA is filed under the name uncultured bacterium. RNAcentral's name for it is "partial 16S ribosomal RNA". It matches the Rfam family "Bacterial small subunit ribosomal RNA", at positions 524 to 776 of the family's 1533-position model. The record is from RNAcentral.
UACGGAGGAUCCAAGCGUUAUCCGGAUUUAUUGGGGUUUAAAGGGUGCGUAGGCGGAUUAUUAAGUCAGUGGUGAAAGCCUGCAGCUUAACUGCAGAACUGCCAUUGAUACUGAUGAUCUUGAGUACAGUUGAGGUGGGCGGAAUGUGUCAUGUAGCGGUGAAAUGCAUAGAUAUGACACAGAACACCUAUUGCGAAGGCAGCUCGCUAAACUGUAACUGACGCUGAGGCACGAAAAGCGUGGGGAUCAAACAGG